This 774-nucleotide ribosomal RNA is filed under the name uncultured bacterium. Its description in RNAcentral is "bacterial SSU rRNA". It matches the Rfam family "Bacterial small subunit ribosomal RNA", at positions 28 to 774 of the family's 1533-position model. The record is from RNAcentral.
AAUGAACGCUUGCGGCGUGCCUAACACAUGCAAGUCGUACGAGAACUCCUGUGCUUGCACAGGAUAGUAAAGUGGCGCACGGGUGAGUAACGCGUGGGUAAUCUACCCCUGGAUUCGGGAUAACACCACGAAAGAGGUGCUAAUACCGGAUAACAUCCUUUUAACUGCGGUUAUUUGGAUCAAAGGUGGCCUCUACAUGUAAGCUACUAUCUGGGGAGGAGCCCGCGUACCAUUAGCUAGUUGGUGAGGUAACGGCUCACCAAGGCUACGAUGGUUAGCUGGUCUGAGAGGAUGAUCAGCCACACUGGAACUGACACACGGUCCAGACUCCUACGGGAGGCAGCAGUGAGGAAUAUUGCGCAAUGGGGGAAACCCUGACGCAGCAACGCCGCGUGAGUGAUGAAGGCCUUUGGGUCGUAAAGCUCUGUCUGGUGGGAAGAACCAGGACUGUUCGAAUAGGGCAGUCCCCUGACCGUACCACCAAAGAAAGCACCGGCUAACUCCGUGCCAGCAGCCGCGGUAAUACGGAGGGUGCAAGCGUUAUUCGGAUUUAUUGGGCGUAAAGGGCGCGUAGGCGGCCGCUUAAGUCAGAUGUGAAAGCCCGGGGCUUAACCCCGGAAGUGCGUUUGAUACUGGGUGGCUUGAGUAUGGGAGAGGGAAGUGGAAUUCCUGGUGUAGAGGUGAAAUUCGUAGAUAUCAGGAGGAACAUCGGUGGCGAAGGCGACUUCCUGGACCAAUACUGACGCUGAGGCGCGAAGGCGUGGGUAGCAAACA